CCCUUAGAUGUCCUGGGCCGCACGCGCGUUACACUGAUGCAUUCAACGAGCUUAUAACCUUGGCCGAGAGGCCUGGGCAAUCUUGUUAACGUGCAUCGUGAUAGGGAUAGAUUAUUGAAAUUAUUAAUCUUGAACGAGGAAUUCCUAGUAAACGCAGAUCAUCAAUCUGCAUUGAUUACGUCCCUGCCCUUUGUACACACCGCCCGUCGCACCUACCGAUUGGAUGGCCCGGUGAAGCCUCGGGAUUGUGGUUCUUGCCGCUUUAUUGUGGCGUGACCGCGAGAACUUGUCUAAACCUUAUCAUCUAGAGGAAGGUGAANUCGUANCA
RNAcentral lists this ribosomal RNA (328 nucleotides) under uncultured eukaryote. RNAcentral's name for it is "partial 18S ribosomal RNA". It matches the Rfam family "Eukaryotic small subunit ribosomal RNA", at positions 1470 to 1796 of the family's 1831-position model. The record is from RNAcentral.